This 88-nucleotide transfer RNA is filed under the name Patescibacteria group bacterium. Its description in RNAcentral is "tRNA-Leu". It matches the Rfam family "tRNA". From Rfam's summary of the family: Transfer RNA (tRNA) molecules are approximately 80 nucleotides in length. Their secondary structure includes four short double-helical elements and three loops (D, anti-codon, and T loops). The record is from RNAcentral.
GCGGGCAUGGUGAAAUUGGUAGACACGCAAGCUUGAGGGGCUUGUCCUGACUUUCGGGGUGGAGGUUCAAAUCCUCUUGCCCGCACCA